This 565-nucleotide ribosomal RNA is filed under the name uncultured Sclerocystis. RNAcentral's name for it is "SSU rRNA". It matches the Rfam family "Eukaryotic small subunit ribosomal RNA", at positions 548 to 1114 of the family's 1831-position model. Lineage: Eukaryota; Fungi; Glomeromycota; Glomeromycetes; Glomerales; Glomeraceae. The record is from RNAcentral.
UUGGAGGGCAAGUCUGGUGCCAGCAGCCGCGGUAAUUCCAGCUCCAAUAGCGUAUAUUAAAGUUGUUGCAGUUAAAAAGCUCGUAGUUGAAUUUCGGGGUCAGCAGGUUGGUCGUGCCAAUGGUAUGAACUGGCCUUGCUGAUUCCUCCCUCUUGAUGAGCCGUAAUGCCAUUAAUUUGGUGUUGCGGGGAAUCAGGACUGUUACUUUGAAAAAAUUAGAGUGUUUAAAGCAGGCAAGCGCUUGAAUACAUUAGCAUGGAAUAAUGAAAUAGGACGUUUGAUCCUAUUUUGUUGGUUUCUAGGAUUGACGUAAUGAUUAAUAGGGAUAGUUGGGGGCAUUAGUAUUCAAUUGUCAGAGGUGAAAUUCUUGGAUUUAUUGAAGACUAACUACUGCGAAAGCAUUUGCCAAGGAUGUUUUCAUUAAUCAAGAACGAAAGUUAGGGGAUCGAAGACGAUCAGAUACCGUCGUAGUCUUAACCAUAAACUAUGCCGACUAGGGAUCGGAUGAUGUUAAUUUUUUAAUGACUCAUUCGGCGCCUUACGGGAAACCAAAGUGUUUGGGUUC